Molecule: ribosomal RNA, 492 nt
Filed under: uncultured bacterium
Lineage: Bacteria
Description: partial 16S ribosomal RNA
Rfam family: Bacterial small subunit ribosomal RNA
Source: RNAcentral
GACGAACGCUGGCGGCGUGCUUAACACAUGCAAGUCGAACGGAAAGGCCCCCACUUUUUUGGUGGGGGUGCUCGAGUGGCGAACGGGUGAGUAACACGUGGGUGAUCUGCCCUGUACUUCGGGAUAAGCUUGGGAAACUGGGUCUAAUACCGGAUAGGACCAUGGUUUAGUGUCUCAUGGUGGAAAAAUUAUUGUUUUGGUGCAGGAUGAGCUCGCGGCCUAUCAGCUUGUUGGUGGGGUAAUGGCCUACCAAGGCGUCGACGGGUAGCCGGCCUGAGAGGGUGGACGGCCACAUUGGGACUGAGAUACGGCCCAGACUCCUACGGGAGGCAGCAGUGGGGAAUAUUGCACAAUGGGCGCAAGCCUGAUGCAGCGACGCCGCGUGGGGGAUGACGGCCUUCGGGUUGUAAACUCCUUUCGUUAGGGACGAAGCUGCACCUUUUUUGGGUGUGGUGACGGUACCUUUGUUAAGAAGCACCGGCUAACUACGUG